Molecule: small nucleolar RNA, 109 nt
Organism: Panicum virgatum (switchgrass)
Lineage: Eukaryota; Viridiplantae; Streptophyta; Magnoliopsida; Poales; Poaceae
Source: RefSeq, a predicted model, not a curated record
AUGCCGUGAUGAGGACUGGCCAAGAUGUAUUCCUGCAGCCUUUCUCAAGCUUCUGGGAUGGAUUCCAUCCCUAUCUACUGGAAACUUGAUAUUCUCCCACUCAGAGCAU